RNAcentral lists this ribosomal RNA (485 nucleotides) under uncultured bacterium. Its description in RNAcentral is "partial 16S ribosomal RNA". It matches the Rfam family "Bacterial small subunit ribosomal RNA", at positions 30 to 507 of the family's 1533-position model. The record is from RNAcentral.
AUUGAACGCUGGCGGCGGGCCUAACACAUGCAAGUCGAGCGGAUGAAGGGAGCUUGCUCCUGGAUUCAGCGGCGGACGGGUGAGUAAUGCCUAGGAAUCUGCCUGGUAGUGGGGGAUAACGUCCGGAAACGGGCGCUAAUACCGCAUACGUCCUGAGGGAGAAAGUGGGGGAUCUUCGGACCUCACGCUAUCAGAUGAGCCUAGGUCGGAUUAGCUAGUUGGUGGGGUAAAGGCCUACCAAGGCGACGAUCCGUAACUGGUCUGAGAGGAUGAUCAGUCACACUGGAACUGAGACACGGUCCAGACUCCUACGGGAGGCAGCAGUGGGGAAAUAUUGGACAAUGGGCGAAAGCCUGAUCCAGCCAUGCCGCGUGUGUGAAGAAGGUCUUCGGAUUGUAAAGCACUUUAAGUUGGGAGGAAGGGCAGUAAGUUAAUACCUUGCUGUUUUGACGUUACCAACAGAAUAAGCACCGGCUAACUUCGUG